Molecule: long non-coding RNA, 819 nt
Organism: Anoplophora glabripennis (Asian longhorned beetle)
Lineage: Eukaryota; Metazoa; Arthropoda; Insecta; Coleoptera; Cerambycidae
Exons: 4
Source: RefSeq, a predicted model, not a curated record
AUCAUAUGAAUCACUCUAAACGUUAAGUGUUGAAUGGGUAUUAGGAAGGGAUUGAUCAAGUCUAGUAUUUUAGUUUUAAUACGACAAUCGCUUUCACAAUGAAACAAGUAAGUGUAUUUUCUUAAAUUUUAAAUCAUUCUAUUUUUACAUGGUGUUAUUUAGUGGGUAUAUUCAAACUGUUCUUAAAAAAUUUAACAACAAUCCUAAUUUAAGACAGCUAUGACUAGAAUGGUAUUUUAGUUCUAAUACGACAAUCGCUUUCACAAUGAAACAAGUAGGUUAGAAUAUCUCGAGAACCUAGGAUGAUGGGCCAUUUCUGAGCUGGGAUUCAUAAUCAGCGCACCAAAAUCCUUUGGGUACACUAAAUCCGGUCUCUGGUUCAAGACUUUCGUAAAAUUUUGUCGGCCUUUGUUAUUAUUGAUUGAUUAAUUAUUAAUUGAAAAAUCAUCAACAUAAAGGAGAAACUUAGAAUUUUUAAUAUAUCCACCCAUGUCCUUAAUAAAAACAAGGAAUAACAGGGGUUCAAGAUGGGCGCCCUGAGGAACACAAGAUGUACUGUGAACUAAUUUAGAAAAAUGCCCAUUAAUUGCUACCAUUUGUGAGCUAUCUAAAUGUAAGAAGUAAACCAACGUAGGAAUUUACCAUGUACAGGUUAUAUCUCACCCGCACUCAAAACAUGUCGGUCGUCUCAGCCAUGGUACCACUGAUGAGAACUAAUACGUUCGAAAUUAGUCCAUGCCUGCUGAUUCCGUUAACGACUAAUCUUAGCUGUUUACUGAAUAUUCCGUAUGCUAGAAGGAACCUGUCGCUCGCAGAGUA